Molecule: ribosomal RNA, 261 nt
Filed under: uncultured bacterium
Lineage: Bacteria
Description: partial 16S ribosomal RNA
Rfam family: Bacterial small subunit ribosomal RNA
Source: RNAcentral
UACGGAGGGUGCAAGCGUUAUCCGGAUUUACUGGGUUUAAAGGGUGUGUAGGCGGACUUUUAAGUCAGAGGUGAAAUCUCCGGGCUCAACCCGGAAACUGCCCCUGAUACUAUUAGUCUUGAAUAUUGAUGAGGUGGGCGGAACGGGUCAUGUAGCGGUGAAAUGCUUAGAGAUGACCCGGAACACCAAUUGCGAAGGCAGCUCACUGGGCAAUUAUUGACGCUGAGGCACGAAAGCGUGGGGAAUCAAACAGGAGUUAGA